This is a non-coding RNA of Podospora conica, 91 nucleotides long. The record is from the annotation of a GenBank genome assembly. NCBI's taxonomy places the organism in Eukaryota, Fungi, Ascomycota, Sordariomycetes, Sordariales, Podosporaceae.
UCUUCCGUAGUAUAGUGGUCAGUAUGUGAGCUUGUCAUUCUCUCAUCCAGAAUAUUCGCUCGAGACCCGGGUUCAAUUCCCGGCGGGAGAG